AUUGAACGCUGGCGGCAUGCUUUACACAUGCAAGUCGAACGGUAACAGGUUAAGCUGACGAGUGGCGAACGGGUGAGUAAUGCAUCGGAACGUGCCCGAUCGUGGGGGAUAACGCAGCGAAAGCUGCGCUAAUACCGCAUACGAUCUGAGGAUGAAAGCGGGGGACCGUAAGGCCUCGCGCGAUCGGAGCGGCCGAUGUCAGAUUAGGUAGUUGGUGGGGUAAAGGCCCACCAAGCCGACGAUCUGUAGCUGGUCUGAGAGGACGACCAGCCACACUGGGACUGAGACACGGCCCAGACUCCUGCGGGAGGCAGCAGUGGGGAAUUUUGGACAAGGGGUGAAAGCCUGCUCCAGCAAUGCCGCGUGCAGGAAGAAGGCCUUCGGGUUGUAAACUGCUUUUGUACGGAGCGAAAAGGUCCUUUCUAAUACAAGGGGCUCAUGACGGUACCGUAAGAAUAAGCACCGGCUAACUACGUGCCAGCCGCCGCCGUAA
Molecule: ribosomal RNA, 493 nt
Filed under: uncultured bacterium
Lineage: Bacteria
Description: partial 16S ribosomal RNA
Rfam family: Bacterial small subunit ribosomal RNA
Source: RNAcentral